Molecule: long non-coding RNA, 5699 nt
Organism: Cygnus olor (mute swan)
Lineage: Eukaryota; Metazoa; Chordata; Aves; Anseriformes; Anatidae
Exons: 5
Source: RefSeq, a predicted model, not a curated record
GAGGCGUCAUGCGGGGCUGUGUCCCCGCGGCUCCUGUGCCUCCCUGGGCUGGCGAGGGCUGGGGGGCUCGGCAGCAGCCUGCCUGGUUCCUCCGGCUGUCCGCCCAAAAUCCCGCUGAGGAACCAGGGGUUGAUGAAGGGUAUGGUUCACCAGGCCGAACUCUAGUCUCCCAACGCCAUGGGAGGAAGACAAGUCUUUCUCCUCAUCCAUUUCCCGGUGCUUCAGGACCGCGCCUGGUGAGGUGUGAGGUGUUCGGGGAAGGACAUGCCCCAAGCUCAUUGGGUCACUGCUUCCAUUGCAUGACUGAACCAUCAGAAGGCCUCCUUCAAGCCUAGCACUCGUCCUCAGUGUGUUCAAAGUGAAGGUUUCCCCAGUUUGUAGCGGUUUUAGGCCUUUACUGGAGAUACAUGUUAAAAAAUCUGCCAAUAUACUUAAGGGCUUCUUAAUCAUUUCAACUCUGCUGUGGAUUACAAGUUUUCAGCCUCUUCUCACCUGACUGUUUGGAUAGCAGCAGUAAUGUCUGAUGCUGCUUUUCCACACUGAUCCACAUAAUCCAGGAGUUCCAGCAUAAGCAAGAGUGUGUGCACUUGCCUAAAAGCGUCUGAACAAACUGACCAAGGAGUACUAUAAUACAACUCCCAUUCAAAGCAGGCAUUUGCCCGUCUGACGCCUCUGAAGUAUUGAAGAUAAAUCACAGGAUCACCUCAUCCCUCUCUAGGUUGAAUAAGUUCAGUUCUUUCAGUAGUUUAAAGAGUACUGAUUGUGAUCACUGCUAUCCUCAUCACUCCCAAAGUCCAGUUCUAAAAGAAGAAAUAGAGGACACAACACUUCCAGCCUCAUCAACACUCAUUCAUCAACAUUCAUCAACAUUUUCUUACAGAUGACACUUCUGUUCCUACCUGUCUGUUUAUUUGCUCUUUCUUCAGAAGAAGGAUGCUGUUGGCUGAAGAUCUGCCUGUGAUCUUCUGUAAGCCACAGAUCAUGUUGUCAGCUCCUCUUUAUCCUGAUUGUUCAAUUGAUUAUUUCUGCUUAACACUACAACAUUGCACUUUCCCUAUUGAUACACCAUUUCUCUAUUUUGUCUAUUUUCAAUUUUAAUUCUGUUUUCUAAUGUGCUUGUAAUCUUUCAUAGCUUCACACCAUUUGGAAAUCCAAUAAGCAUCUUAUGUUUUAUCGGAUUGCUGAGUGCUAACAGACAAAACAGAUUCUUUGCAACUCCACUCAAGACAUUUUUCCUUCUUAACAGUGAACCACUGUUAACUGCUUUCUGCCUGCACAGUGAUAACUUCAAAAACCCAAAUAAAACAAACUAUUAUUUUCCAUAAACAGUGUUCCUCAUGCAAGAUUUAAUUUCCUCCAGAAACAACUUUUAUUUGACAUCAGUAGUUGCAGAAGAUUUGGUACUGAUUUGGAGCAAAGGACAGCACUGUGUUCUCGAGCUGAGCUGUACUGGACUGAAGAAUGUGUAUUGAAUCAGGUGUACUAUGUAGUGCAGACAGAAUGCCAACAGGAUUUCAACAGUAUUCAUGGAGUACCUCUGUGAGUAAUUUUGGUCAUCCCAGAGCUGCAGAGGAAAGCCAGUGAAACUGUGUAAUUAUAUCAGUGGUGGAUUGAGCUAAUAUUAUUUGCCUCUCAAUAGGCAUCUUAUCUUGGAGUCAAGCUAGGAUUCUUGGCUGCCAACAUGAACUGUGUCUGGAAAUGUAGGAGGAAUGGUCUGCACUUGUUUUGCUGGUGUACCCUGAGUAUCCUACAUAAAUAAACUUUGUGCUUUCUGUAGACAUUUCCAUUCUGCCUGUGGGAGGUUGCUGUAAAGGGCCUGAGCUUGUAUCGAAUUGCAAUGUGUGGUACACAAACCUGUGUGGCUCCAGCAACAGUCUCUCCUCCAGGCGUAUUUCUUUGAUCAAGUAAUAAUUGUGGUUCUUAACAAGAGAUGGUGCAAGUGUUAUAUGUGUGUAAUCUGAUAACAAUCUCAGCUAACAUGUAACAAGUGUAGGUCUGUUCUAAAAAUGAAAAGCACAGUAGCAUAAGUAAACUAUGGGACUGCUGAAGAAAAAACAUGAUCAUUUAUUUGCCAUUAACUAAUAAUGGCACAAAAUUCAUGAUAUUAAACAAUAUUUAUUAAGGUAUAUAUUAAGAAUUAAUAUGUCACUUCAAGUCCCCAUCUGUACAAUCCUUAAAUUCAGUCCUUUAGUCAUCCUUUGAGGUUGUUCCAAGCAAGCGUUUGAACGUCUUUCAGCUGAGGAUAGACUUGAAUCACACUCUUCACUUACAAGUAGAGCAUUGUGGCCAGUAGGCUGUUAAAAAAGUACUGUGUGCCUUUACUUUUUAAUAGGAGGUGUCCUCAACAUGUUCCUGUGAGGGACAAAUAUGUGCAACAUGCAAUAAUCAUAAAUAAUCAUACCCUGAGAAAUGGACCUCCUGGGCAUUCCUCCACCUAGCUUUUGACCUCGGAAUUGUUUUUGCAGGCUAUAUGCACCUCACACUGAAUUCUGUGUGUGAAGUCUAAGUGCUCUAGAAAUUUGAAUGAAGAGAUGCCAAUUGAACUCAGACUUCCAGGAUAUCUAGAGCUUUAUCCAAGUUUGUUCUGCAUCUGAACUGGCAAAGAACUGAUCCUGAGGGUUCUAGUAACUUCACCUUUGGAAAAAUGUUCCUUUUGGAAACCUGAAAAUAAUAAUUUGCUUAGAAAUUCCAAGACAAAGUCAAGUGAAAGUCAUGAGUAAAAGGGAAGAGAGAAGAAAGAAAUCUUGUGGUAAGGUCUCCUGGGAAAGACUUGUUCCAGCCACUGAAAGCAAACACUGUUUUAAUGUGUAAUGACACGUUUCCUUUCCUUUGGUCUGGCUUCCCACUAGUAAAAGUUUCAGUGCAGCUGAGUGGUAAGGAAAAGAAACUGAUUUUCUCAGAGCAAUGUUUCUUGGCUUUUUGUUUUAGUUUCAUACUAGACGUGCACAGAAGUACACAAGUAGGAUCUCACCAGUGCCACAGAAAUGGAAAUAUCUUCUAUCCACCUGCUUUUCCAGUGAUCUCAAAGUCUUCUACUGCUGAAGACAGAAGAAUUUUCCCAUUUUCUGAAUGCAGAGAUAGCCAAACCUAAAAUACGUGAAUCAGAAAAUAGUAUUUGAAACAACAUAAAGCUCCCACAUGUCUUGGUCCUGGUUCUGCUCUGUGCACAUAUUUUCUACUGUUUGUUCUGUUAGAGCUGCCAAAGGGCUAAAUCCAACACUCCACCCCCAAAGCACACAGCACGACCAAUGCUUCAUCUCAGAACUGUGUGUGUGCUUCUCUUUCCCCACUUCAACACCUUUAAACUCAUUGCAGGCACAACUAGAACUACCUAACCAUACAGCAGUGAUGAACACUAAUGUUUAUCCAUAAUGAGAAAUAUUAGUGCACUAAUAUGGAAAAGGACAAGCAUUGCAGGAAAAACUGUUAAACUUGACAAACCACAAUAGUAAGGUUGACUCUCUUCUCAGAGAGCUGGGAAGAUGCCAGGGAGAAAUGCUAAAAAAGCACUAGGUUCUUUGAUCAGGUAUUCCACCUGAGAGCAGCUAAGGACUUUUACACAAAUGGUGUAUGCAUCCAGGUAUAUCAGAGGUCAAGAGGUACUUGGCAUUGUCAAGACUGCAGCUUCAGCUGUGAGUGCUAUCAGAUGUCUGUGCAAAGUCCCAAUAGGAGGUGUGUGGCCUCACUGUACCACAUCCUACUUAAAUAUAUUGAGAAGAUGAUUAAGAAGCUCAUGAUGAAAUGCAAAAGACAAUUAAAACAAACAAAAUAGCAGGCUGGGAAGGAGGGAUCAGCAACAAAAGUUUAAAAGUUUUAAAUGUUGAAGUACUUGACAAGGAAAUCCUUUGAAACUGAUUAAUAAAUGUAAUGUAAUCUAUUUUCUCCCUAUUUUUCUCAGGAAUGGAUUGUUUGUUUGUUUGUUUUGGUUUGUUUUUUUGCCAAAACUGGAAGCAAACCAGAAUAACAUAGCAACAUUCCUUGAAUGGUUAACAUUUGGGGAAAAAAAAAAAAAAAAAAGUGAAGGUGUGCAAUGAUGUUAUUGUAACAACUUAAUAUUGCCAGUUGCCUUGUUUAUGGUAAAUUUCAUUUAAUUCUUCAUUCCACAGAGAAGAGGCAGUAAUUAAGUAAUUGAUUUCUGGUUCUUAGAAAAUUUGAUACUUUUAUCUUGAAGGUUAUUCAUUGGUCAUGUGAAAAUUAAGCUUUGGAUGUGGUAUGACCUUUGCAUUUCUUAUAACAGCCAGGUAAUCCAAAGUUAUUAAUAAUGUAGUAUUUGGAAAUGCUGUUCUAGUUCUGGACUGACAAGUGGCAUGCACUCUGUUAUCAGUUGGCUCUCUCCUGCAUACCUUCUUAGGCAAGUAAAUAGCUGGCACACUUUGAGACCUCUGGUUAAGAUAAUCUGGGGACAAGUAUGAGGGAACUGGAGGUGUUGGAGAUAGACAGACACAAUAUCUAGCAAAUACUUGCCUACGCUAUUUGUGGCCCUAAGUUUUGCUUUAUAAUGAUAAUAAUAAUAAUAAUAAUUAUUAUUAUUAAGCAAAAUAUUAGCCCUGUUAAGAAUUUUAGAUAAGAAGUUAAAGGAAAAAUUUAAGUGCAAUUUCUUUUGCAGCUGAUAAUUCUAAAACCUAAACCAUCUCCUCUAACAGUGUGACUCAGAGAAAGGAGAGGAGAGAAAGUAAGCCAAAGAGAUAGUGACAUUUGCUGCUAGACACUUAGAAAGCAGAAGAACUGGAUCUUGGUAGGUGCUCCAGUGAAUGGCCUUCUUCUGUAAAAUACAAAAGACCAAGAGUGUAAGUCACCAAAAUGUUUUUAAAAUCUAACCCAGGUUCCUUCCAUUUGCACUAUACUGUGCAAAAUCAAAGCUAUCCACUGCUAUGAAGGACACAACUGUCUGUCCUUCAACUAGAGAAGUACAUGUGGUUUUUAUACAAUAAAUUUGUUCAGAGCUGAGCUUAGCAUCAUGGCCUCUCUCCUGCUCCACAUACCAGAUACAUCUGGUUGACCUUGUCAGUGCUUUCUUAAUCACUGAUACCUCUACAUGUGGUCCUUAGUGAGAUAAUGGUUAUAAUAAGGUGUUGCAGCCAGGACAGAAAGAGGGAAGAUGUCGGUAGCCCAUAGCAGCUUUGACAUAAACGAUCCCUGCCAGGGGCACACUCCAGAACAGCAUGCAGUCCCUGUCCCACUGUGUCACAUGUUGGCCCCUGUUUUUAAAGAAAACACUCCCCUUCGUGUUUCCUAGCAUGCAUCUAUCUGUCAAUAUCAAACAGAAAGUCACCUGUGAAGUCUGCAUUCGUCAUACAGUGAACAGCUAGUUUUCUAAAAUGUUGACUCAUUCCUUUCUUCUCUCAGACAUAGCAGUAGAUCUACAACUUGCAGUAAGACCAGUGUCUGACUUUGUGAUGUCAAUUGUACAUUAGUUUUAGUUCCUAUAUUAGAUAUAAGCUUCAAGUGCCAUGUUACCCACAGGUUUUAUUUGUGACUCCCGAAGCCUGAAUGUGAUACGACUAAAGAAGUACAGCUAAUGAAUGAAAAAUGAAUACCUCAACUUGUUCUGCUACAGGUUUUAAACCCAAAUCAGUAAGAUUAUUCUAAAAUGAUGGAAAUAUAUCACUACGGAUAGAUCUCAUGUCUUUUUUGCUGUUGUUGUUGUUAAAGUGACUUUUUAAAAAUAACUGAGGUGAAAAUAAAGCUAGAUUAUCUCU